Callithrix jacchus (white-tufted-ear marmoset) is the source of this 5512-nucleotide long non-coding RNA. RefSeq lists it as uncharacterized. The record is from RefSeq and is a predicted model, not a curated record. Lineage: Eukaryota; Metazoa; Chordata; Mammalia; Primates; Cebidae.
CCCAUAGGUCAGCUCAAUUUUCAGCACUGAGUUUGGGGCCAAAGCCUCUGUUAAAAAUCAGUGUCACUUAACUUCCUAUUUUCUAAUUAUUGUCCUGGUUACUUUCUUCACUCAGAGACUUGAAGAAGGUGAAGGCAGGGCAGGUUUGGGCAUAAUAACCUUCAGUGACACCUGGGUUCACCCUGGUUUCUAAUAGUGUUCCCUGAUCCAUCAGGAUAAACAUGCUCAGUGCUUAUUCGAGUGGGCCCCAAAUCUUGCUGAGGCCUUGGUCCCACUCUACUGAGAAAUUUUUAUCAUCAUGAUCAUCAUCAUCAUCACCACUACCAUCAUCAUCGUCUUCAAAUAGUUUCCAUUUACUUUGUGGACCAGGUACUAUCUUAGGUACUUUAUGCACAAUAGGUCAUGGGGUCCUUGAAUAACUGUGCAAAGCAGGUGUUAGCAUCCCUGGAGAAGGACAGGUGAGGAAAUCGAGGCUAAGAGAGGGGCGGUCAAAGUCACACAGAUGCUGACUGUGUGAAUAGAAGGUAAUGCCCAGUGCUUCCAGCUCUUGGUGCAGGACUGUCAGUGGUGCCACCAGAGCAGAAGUGUCACCAUCCCAUGGCUAAUGUGGUCUUGGGCUUUUAGAGAGAAAUUGAGGCAAAGGGUAGGUCUAGUUCACAGGAUCUAAGUUUGUAGAAGUAGCAGGCCUAUUCAAAACCUUGGUCACCAUGAGAACCACCUGCCCUCCCCUCAGGGUACUAUUUCCUGCCUUGAGGGAGCCUCUAGGGUCUGCUAAAUUAAUUGUGUAUGAAAGCAGGAAGGAGCUGGUGGUGUCUGUGGGACCUGUGUGAUCCAGGGCUUACCACCUAGGCUCCUUAGUGGAAGGAGAGGUGGGAUUUGAACUCAGUUCUCUAUGAGCUGCUAUGAGUUUUGUAAUGGUAGUGGUGGCAGUGUGAGAUGGUGUGUGUUGAUUUCACAUGAAUAAGGGCUCUGGGCAAUGCUGGUAUGCAAUGAGUCAGGCUUUUUGCAGAAGACAGAUCAGGGUAGGUUAAACCAGCUGGAGAUGUUACAUUUGCCAAAAGACAUGACAGAGAAGAGAAAUAAAGGGUGGGUUUCAGGAGGGAUGGUGGGUGGUGGCAGAAGUAGCACCUAGCAAACAGCUGUUGGGCACCUGCUCCAUGCCAGACUCUGGGAUGGUCUCUGUGCUGGUUUCCAAGGCCCCAGUUAUGGAGCUGACCUAGGUUUACCCUUGGGGAGCUCAAUCAGGGGGAGAUGGACAUCUUGAAGAACACCAGUUGUGUGCUGUGCUCUCUUAGGAUGUGGAGUUUGCAUUCCUAAGAAAUCUUGUGUUAUAAAAAAUGGAAUUACAGAGACAAUUGCUUCAAUGGAGAAAAUGAGGUUGGGGUUUGAGAGUGUCAGAAUUGCCAUAAAAAAGUUAUUUUUCCUUCAGGAAUGACAAUAAUAAAGAUGCUUUUACAGCGUAAGUGUAUGGCUAUGAAAGAUGAACAUCACAGAGCAAAUCCAGCUUUAGACUUCCUCAUGAAUUUGCUCAAGAGGAACAGCCUUUUUAUCACUAGCUCAGACCUCCAAUCACCUUGACCAUCCUCUGCUAGAGUCACAAAGCAUCGAGUCCCUCUAAGGAGGCAUCCUAAAGACAUCAGGACAUGCCUUCGUCAGUGCCUACCAUCUCCUCCUCUAGUUCCCCUGUAGCAGAUUCCUCUCCUUCAUUGUAUUAUAACUAACUGUGAUCUGCUCAGUAUAAUUGUGCUCUUUAAUUAAAGGAUCACAUUAUAUUUAAUUUGCAUUGAAAAAUCCCACCAUAGGAGAAAUUCCUGGAGGUGUGAGAACAUUAAUGGCAGUAUGUAGAGGUAGUGUUGUGUCACAGUUAAGGGUGGGGCCUCUGGAGCCAGCCUUCCUGAGGUAAAAUCCUAACUUUGCCACUUACUAGCUAUGUGAACUUGGGCAAGUGACCUAAUCCUCUGUGCUUCAUCUUUCAGUUGGGGAGAAUAGAAGCAUCUACUUCAUGUAGUGGCCUGGAUUAGAAGAGGUGAAGAGUUCACAGCCUUCAAGGAAACAAGAAAUCAUGAGAUGGAGUGAAGGAAGGUGGCCUGGAACCAGCUGCUGAGCCUCUCUGAGCCCCAGUUUCCUCAUCUCUAAAAUGGGCCUGAUCUCCUCUCCCUCAGACGGUUGUUGCAGAAAUUAAAUGAGAGAGAGGAAGCCCCGGCUCAGCAGAAUGGAGUCACUUGCCCAGGGACAUCCAACUGAGCUGAUACUCUUUGUCUUCCCUAUGCUGCUUCUCUCUGGGUUUGGUAAAAGUUUUUAUCUUUACAAAAAACAGCUUGGACUUCUAUUCUGGGGUGAAUUUGGGUAAUCGUGACAAUGACAACAGACAAAAUUACCGAUGCUGGGAGCAGAAAGUUGGGUUUGGAGGCCCAAAACAAAAGAAGUGAUUUGACUCUAAACUUUGCCUGGGCCUCCCUGAACAGGAUCACAUACCACAGUGAAACCUCUGACAGUUCCUAUCUCUGCACGUGACUUGUCAGGGGAACUUUUCUCUGAUGCUCACACGAUGUGGGAACUUGUCACAUCUUCAAUCUCUGGGAACAUCCUCACCUGAAAUUGAAAGGUAGAACAAAGGCAGUGAAGGGUGCAAGGAUAUUAGAACUCUGUUCUGUGAGCUUUCAUGAACGCUGUGGAAGGAUCCAGGCAAGAUGGCCUCAAAUUAAGAUUUUAAUGACUCUUUGGUUUAGAAAGCACACUCUUGUUGUUAAUGCUAUCUUAUCAGGUGUCUUUUUUAAUUUACAGAUGAAAGUUUAAAAAAUUCAUAAUUACACAAACACUUGCCUCUGUGUGUUUGCAUGUAUGUGUCUGUUAAGGAAGAAAUGCAUAGUGCCUACAGGAAGUAAGGGCAAAAUAAUUUCAAGGACUGAGAGUUUCUGGAAUUACCUUAUGGUAAAGGCAAUUAUGUGCUGCAUUUUAACAAGGUUAAAAGCAUCCACACCCAAAUACUGACUCAAGGAGACUCUGGGCCCCACAAGACCUUGUGAGUUUCAAAUGUACAUAUAAAUGUUAUACUUUGGGGGUUAAAAUGUUUUAUUUACAAAUGAGCAAAGAAUGAUUGAUCUUGAUGAAAGACAUUUAAACAGAACCCUAGCUGAUAAAAAUUUCUGGCAGUAACCAUCAUUUGGUCAGUGUUUGAUCUUCGGUAAUAGAAGUAAGUUUUGAUGCAGAUGGUGAUGAUGUGGGGUGGUUUUAGAUACAAGCACAUUUUUUUUUUUUGCACUCCUCCUAUCACGACAGAAAUAACAGUAAGUAAAUGCCGUCAGCUUUCUAUGACAUGCAACUUUUCAUCCAAGCAAAAUAUAACAUACCUAGGACCUCAAAGAAAUUUAAUAAUGUUAGUAUUCUUGUGAUUUGUUAGACCUUUUCCACAAACACCUAUAGAAACUAUAUAUGUUUGCCUGGAGAUUUAAGGUAACAGGCUUAUACUCGCAACAAGAUGAAUUUUUAUUAAAUGUUAGGCAGACACAUUGUGCUGAUGCUGGAAACUGUUUCUGAGACAGUAUAUGUAGAAUGUCUUCUAUGGAUAUUUUCAAGACCUCUUUAAAUACCUACAUCUGUUUGUAAAACUUUCAGCAUAGAUCUGUAGGAGGCAGGUGAAUGAACUAUAUGAACUGGGAAGACUGUACCAACUUUGGAUAUCCCCCAAAAAAUGCAGCUGUCUAUUUAAAGUAUACUAAAAUGACACCUUUAAGGAGCAAGGGUGGUGAUGACUGGCGACUAUCAUAGGUUUGGCAGCAACAUUUUUAGACCUACAAACAUGGUUGUGAAGCUGUGUUAUCCCUGUGGGAAACUAUUCUUUUGAAUGCCCUUUUUUUUUAUUCUCCAGUAAAGAAAUACAGGAGCUGUCUUUAAGAUAAAACUAUAAAAAGAACCUUUAAGUUCAACUAUAUGAGGUUCAGGCUGACAUAGAGGUUCAAUAUUUAGUUUGGUUAAUUAAAUCCCAUUCUUUGCCCUGAAUUUAAUUAUUCCAACCAAUGUGGUAACUUAAUAUAAUAAUAAAAAAGAGGUUAAUUAGAAAUAGAAGAGAAUCAGACUAUUUGUUCAUCUGGCUCAGUGGGGGCAUUUCAUGAAGUGUCAGUUUAUGGAUGGCAAUGUUUCACAGAGUAUGAAUUUUCAGUUAGUGAGAAAAUGAAAAUGAAAGACAGUAGAUCAUCAAUGAGUGAUUGUAUCAGGAAAUCACUAAAAAGCUAAUCUGUAAAGUUCAGGGCAUAUUUUAAAGUGACUUCAUGAUAAUAUAGAUAGUUUUUCUUUCCCUAGGUUGAGCUUAAAUCAUAUUCUUAAGACAUAAUGAGUAAUUCCUUGUUUAGACUUUCUAUUCAAAGGUAAGAAAGCCACAUAUUUGCUACUUUUAAACAAAAAUAAAAAGGUGACCUUUCUUUCUUGGCUGUCACUUUCAAUGCAAAUGAUCUGCUUUCUUAAUAUUGCUCAAGUUCUGCAACCUCAAUGUUGAGGUGCUGUGCAGUAGAAUCAGACUUGGACUCAAAUCACAGCUGGAAACUUGCUUGUGGUGUCAAGUUACUAUUCUUAUUGCGCCUCAGUCUUGUCAUCUGUGAAAUGAGGAUAAUGUUGUCUAUACCCCUUGGGUUGCUGAGAAUAAAGUGAGAGAAUGUAGGGAAUACCAUACCAUACCGCCUGCUUGUUACACAAUAGAUGCUCUGCAAAUGGUGGUUCCCUGUCCUCUGAACAAGUCACAAGCCUUCUUAUAAAUGAAUAACAGAUGCUAAUGUAACAACACCAAAGGUAAGGCCAAGUGUUCUGGUUUAGCCACCAGGGCAGUGCUCCUCAAACUUGAAAGUACCAGUGAUUCAUUCACCUGGGAUCUGGUUAAAUGCAGAUUCUACAUUUCUAACAAGCUUCCAGAAGAUGCUGAUACUACUGGUUGGGGACCACCACACUUUUAAUAGCAUGGAACCAGAACAAUGACUUCUGAAUAUCGAACUGACUUUAAGAGACUGGACUAAGUUGUAAAAUAGAAUUUUACUCUGCCUUUUUUUUCCUGGUUUAAUGAUAAAAAUAAUGGGGAAAUCUGAAGAUGGUACAUAUAAAAAGUUUGAAUAAACACAUUUAAAAAUUUGGGAAGUCAGAUCCAUUCUACACACUUUCAUUUAUUGUCUGGACAGAUAAAGUACAAAUAAUUCAAACACAACAAGAUUAUGAAAAAAAAACAGUUACAAUACUUUCCCUUGGAAAUCAUCUAAACUAGCAAGAUUAACAUGAAGUCAUUCAUUAAUAACUAAAGUAUACAACUGCCUGGUCCUAAGAUUUUUUUUCCUUUUUUUUUCCCCCCAAGAUUGAACACGUUAUAGAGAAGAUUUUGGCAUGCCUUUUUCCCACUAAUGCUUAGCAAAUGCGUCAAAACUUUGCCAGCAAACUGCGUUCAUUCAUAGCAGGUGACGUUAAAAGAUUUUCCUGAAUGUUGAACAAGUGUUCUCCAAACUGAAAUCUGGUGUUAUAUAUCCAAAACCAAAAA